CUCCCGAGUAGCUGGGACUACAGGCGCCCGCUACCACGCCCGGCUAAUUUUUUGUAUUUUUAGUAGAGACGGGGUUUCACCGUGUUAGCCAGGAUGGUCUCGAUCUCCUGACCUCGUGAUCCGCCCGCCUCAGCCUCCCAAAGUGCUGGGAUUACAGGCGUGAGCCACCGCGCCCGGCAGGGCCUUGUGGGUGUUCUAAAGGAAUGAUUGAAAUGAAAAGAAAUGAGAGAGUCAAACAGUGUACCGUAAUAGAUGAAAUGGAAAGUAAUUAUGUUAAUGUUGACUCAUUAUGAAGCUCUAACCAUUUUUACCUGCUCAUUUCUGUGUGGAAACCUGUGCAGCUGAGAUGCUGAAUAAGAAAUUCUUGUACAAAUGAGCCUAGAGGCAUGUUUCUAGUAUAGGAGCUAGGUCUAUGCAGAAUUAUAAUGAAUUUCCCUAAGUCAUUAUUUAAAUAUGCUAUCAGAGUAGGUGAUUCUCCUGCCAGAAAAUUUGGCUUCUAAUGUUUAUCAUCAAAUUUUUAGAUGUAUAUUUGAAUCUUCAUUGCUGCAUGUAAUUCUCAUUUGUUAAUUAGAGAGAAAAAACCCUAUAUUCCACAAUACAUCUAUAUCAUAUAUAGUGUCAGAUUUUACAGGAUAACCUGUAAGGAAGGGAUUUAUGAGAAAAAAAUGUUAGCAGGGCCAAACAAUGUAAAUAAAAACAUGUAAGUGCUUAAGAACGUGAGAUUUGGAGUCAGAUGGGCUAGAUUGAAACCAAAUCUGUCUGACUCCAAAACUGAAGCUUUUAUUCAUGGUCAGAAAAUUUUGAAAGUGUCACUCCCCUAAAUGCCUAUACCAUUCCCCCCAUUGCGCUUAAAUGUUUCUUUUUGCCAGUAUUCUGUUUCUAAAGCAUGCAUUUUUCAGUCAUAAUGUAUAAUAAAGCUUAAUGGUCUUGCCUCCUAUGACUAAAAUGUCCUGCCAGUAUUCUGGAAAUAAAAUAUUAUAGAG
Molecule: long non-coding RNA, 983 nt
Filed under: Homo sapiens (human)
Lineage: Eukaryota; Metazoa; Chordata; Mammalia; Primates; Hominidae
Description: HSALNT0284581
Source: RNAcentral